This 431-nucleotide ribosomal RNA is filed under the name uncultured bacterium. RNAcentral's name for it is "partial 16S ribosomal RNA". It matches the Rfam family "Bacterial small subunit ribosomal RNA", at positions 29 to 505 of the family's 1533-position model. The record is from RNAcentral.
AACGAACGCUGGCGGCAUGCCUAACACAUGCAAGUCGAACGAGACCUUCGGGUCUAGUGGCGCACGGGUGCGUAACGCGUGGGAACCUGCCCUUAGGUUCGGAAUAACUCCCCGAAAGGGGUGCUAAUACCGGAUAAUGUCUUCGGACCAAAGAUUUAUCGCCUUUGGAUGGGCCCGCGUUGGAUUAGCUAGUUGGUAGGGUAAAAGCCUACCAAGGCGACGAUCCAUAGCUGGUCUGAGAGGAUGAUCAGCCACACUGGGACUGAGACACGGCCCAGACUCCUACGGGAGGCAGCAGUGGGGAAUAUUGGACAAUGGGCUAAAGCCUGAUCCAGCAAUGCCGCGUGAGUGAUGAAGGCCUUAGGGUUGUAAAGCUCUUUUACCCGGGAUGAUAAUGACAGUACCGGGAGAAUAAGCUCCGGCUAACUCCG